This 678-nucleotide long non-coding RNA is filed under the name Mus pahari (shrew mouse). Its description in RNAcentral is "lncRNA (MGP_PahariEiJ_G0004005.1)". The record is from RNAcentral. Lineage: Eukaryota; Metazoa; Chordata; Mammalia; Rodentia; Muridae.
AGAAGCAAGAGGUAAGAUGGUUUGGGGGAUGUCUCUGAGCCAACACUAUGCAUUUGGAGAAAGAUGAAAAACUACAGACAAGUCACCUCACAUCACAGCUUAAAUCUUGUUGAUGGCCAUAAUCCGUAUAGUACCAUGACACCUUAUUGAUGUUGAUACAAGAGACCAUGUUGAAAAUCUUGGUCCAUCUUGCUGCUUAAGACAAUGUCGAAGUAAGUGUUAUGUGCUGCUACAGUUGUCCAGUUGGAAGUCGAUGACCUGAACUGCAAACUAUAGCUAUGUUGAAGUAACUGAUGACUAUUCACAACCACCAACCAACCAUGUUGAUGUCCAAAUGGAGACCUUGUAAUAGUCAUGAUCCCUGUUGACAACAGAGACACUGUUGAAUUCCAUGGUCAAUACUGCCUCCUGAAACCAUAUUCAGGGAAGUGUUCUAUUUUGUACCUAAGAACCAGUAUAAUCUAUAAAAUUCAAACUGCUCAAUGGCAAUAUGUUGUUGUCAUAGCAACCUAUUGAUACUGUAGAUACCAGUAAAGAUUCCAUAAGCAAUGUAAUCUUUACUGGUAUCAGUGAUUCAUGAUUCAACCAAUUUAUGAGAAGUGUUCAACCAGUUGUAACCAUUUUGAUGUCACACUGAAUCCUGACACUAGAGGUUUCUGAACAUCAUCUUACCUGUUC